CCGUGUUCUGUGACUGACUCGGCUGGCGCCGGACUGGCGGGGGCCAGCCGGUCUGUCACGGAACACGGGA
Non-coding RNA from Acyrthosiphon pisum (pea aphid), 70 nucleotides. Lineage: Eukaryota; Metazoa; Arthropoda; Insecta; Hemiptera; Aphididae. The record is from Rfam.